This 377-nucleotide unclassified non-coding RNA is filed under the name plant metagenome. RNAcentral describes it as "partial contains 5.8S ribosomal RNA, internal transcribed spacer 2, and large subunit ribosomal RNA". The stretch from base 1 to 104 matches the Rfam family "5.8S ribosomal RNA", at positions 51 to 154 of the family's 154-position model. The record is from RNAcentral.
AAAUGCGAUAAGUAAUGUGAAUUGCAGAAUUCAGUGAAUCAUCGAAUCUUUGAACGCACCUUGCGCUCCUUGGUAUUCCUUGGAGCAUGCCUGUUUGAGUAUCAUGAAAUCUUCAAAGUAAAUCUUUUGUUAACUCAAUUGGUUUCUACUUUGGUAUUGGAGGUCUUUGCAGCUUCACACCUGCUCCUCUUUGUUCAUUAGCUGGAUCUCAGUGUUAUGCUUGGUUCCACUCGGCGUGAUAAGUUAUCUAUCGCUGAGGACACUGUAAAAGGUGGCCAAGGUAAAUGCAGAUGAUCCGCUUCUAAUAGUCCAUUGACUUGGACAAUACUUUUAUGAUCUGAUCUCAAAUCAGGUAGGACUACCCGCUGAACUUAAGC